GAUGAACGCUAGCGGCAGGCUUAAUACAUGCAAGUCAAGGGGGUAGCAAUACAACCGGCGCACGGGUGAGUAACGCGUACACAACAUACCAUAUACUGGGGUAUAGCUUUGGGAAACUGAAGGUAAUCCCCCAUAACAUUGCGAGAGGGCAUCUGAUUGCAAUUAAAGUUUCGGCGGUAUAUGAUUGGUGUGCGUUUGAUUAGCUAGUUGGUAGGGUAACGGCCUACCAAGGCGACGAUCAAUAGCUGGCGUGAGAGCGCGACCAGCCACACUGGAACUGAGACACGGUCCAGACUCCUACGGGAGGCAGCAGUAGGGAAUAUUGGACAAUGGAGGAAACUCUGAUCCAGCCAUGCCGCGUGAUAGAUGAAGGCCCUCUGGGUUGUAAAUAUCUUUUAUCUGGGAAGAAACAAUCUUAUUCUUAAGAUCUUGACGGUACCAGAGGAAUAAGCACCGGCUAACUCCGUGCCAGCAGCCGCGGUAAU
This 485-nucleotide ribosomal RNA is filed under the name uncultured bacterium. RNAcentral's name for it is "bacterial SSU rRNA". It matches the Rfam family "Bacterial small subunit ribosomal RNA", at positions 28 to 524 of the family's 1533-position model. The record is from RNAcentral.